GGACUGUAGCAAUACAGUUGCUGGCGACCGGCAAACGGGUGCGGAACACGUACGCAACCUACCCAAAACUGGGGAAUAGCCCGGGGAAACCCGGAUUAAUACCUCGUAACAUAAUGAAGUGGCAUCACUUUAUUAUUAUAGCUCCGGCGGUUUUGGAUGGGCGUGCGCCUGAUUAGGUAGUUGGCGGGGUAACGGCCCACCAAGCCUACGAUCAGUAACUGGUGUGAGAGCACGACCAGUCACACGGGCACUGAGACACGGGCCCGACUCCUACGGGAGGCAGCAGUAAGGAAUAUUGGUCAAUGGACGCAAGUCUGAACCAGCCAUGCCGCGUGAAGGAUGAAGGUCCUCUGGAUUGUAAACUUCUUUUAUAUGGGACGAAACCCUCGGAUUCCUCCGGGAUUGACGGUACCAUAGGAAUAAGCACCGGCUAACUCCGUGCCAGCAGCCGCGGUAAUACGGAGGGUGCAAGCGUUAUCCGGAUUCACUGGGUUUAAAGGGUGCGUAGGAGGGCAGGUAAGUCAGUGGUGAAAUCCCCAAGCUUAACUUGGGAACUGCCGUUGAUACUAUCUGUCUUGAAUACCGUGGAGGUGAGCGGAAUAUGUCAUGUAGCGGUGAAAUGCUUAGAUAUGACAUAGAACACCAAUUGCGAAGGCAGCUCGCUACACGAAUAUUGACUCUGAGGCACGAAAGCGUGGGGAUCAAACAGGAUUAGAUACCCUGGUAGUCCACGCCCUAAACGAUGGAUACUCGACAUACGCGAUACACAGUGUGUGUCUGAGCGAAAGCAUUAAGUAUCCCACCUGGGAAGUACGACCGC
Molecule: ribosomal RNA, 820 nt
Filed under: uncultured Flavobacteriia bacterium
Lineage: Bacteria; Pseudomonadati; Bacteroidota; Flavobacteriia
Description: bacterial SSU rRNA
Rfam family: Bacterial small subunit ribosomal RNA
Source: RNAcentral